Actinia tenebrosa (Australian red waratah sea anemone) is the source of this 673-nucleotide long non-coding RNA. The record is from RefSeq and is a predicted model, not a curated record. Lineage: Eukaryota; Metazoa; Cnidaria; Anthozoa; Actiniaria; Actiniidae.
GAGAGAUUAGCUAUCCUUUAGUCAUCGGCUUGGUGCUUUGGGAGUUUCGUCUUUUUGGAUUUCCUGCUGGAGGGCAUGACGUCUUUACGGAUAAAAUUCUAUUUUUUGCUGGCUUUUUCCUGCGUACCUUUGUUGUGGUCGUAUUCGCUGGCGGGGGUUAUUCCAUGCCUGAAACCAGGCGAUAAAGCCCCGGGCUUUAGUGUUCAAACGACUGAGGGUUUGCUCUCGUACAAUUCGGACCGAGCAAGCGAUAUCAAGGGGCCGCUGGUGAUCGUAGCGUUCACAAAUGAAUCGAGUUUUUUGGAAAACCUUUUCGCGGAUCCAAAGAGGAUGGUUGUUGAUCUCUUUGAUCAUUCCCCAGAUAAUGCUCACUAUAUUUUCUUGUUCUACGACAACGCUGCCUUAGAGCAAAACGAAGAUGCAAGUCUACGGCUGCAAAAGCUGUUCAUCUACGAGAUGUACCAGUACCACAAUAAAAAAUGAAAAACAACGUAUUGACGAGGUUGGAGGAAAUAUCUGCGUGAUAGGAGUUGAAUCGAAGCCAAAAUAGUUUGAACAUCAACACCUUGUAUCUUUUGGAAAAGAUUACUUGAUCUGUUUACUAGUCUUUAAUUUGGUCCGUGUUGUAAUUGAGUUUCCGUGAACGCAAAAAAACAUGGGUAAAUUCAUCGAA